RNAcentral lists this ribosomal RNA (253 nucleotides) under uncultured bacterium. Its description in RNAcentral is "partial 16S ribosomal RNA". It matches the Rfam family "Bacterial small subunit ribosomal RNA", at positions 524 to 776 of the family's 1533-position model. The record is from RNAcentral.
UACGUAGGGGGCAAGCGUUGUCCGGAUUUACUGGGCGUAAAGAGCGUGUAGGCGGCCAAGCAGGUCCGUUGUGAAAACUGGAGGCUUAACCUCCAGACGUCGACGGAAACCGCGUGGCUAGAGUCCGGAAGAGGAGAGUGGAAUUCCUGGUGUAGCGGUGAAAUGCGUAGAUAUCUGGAGGAAUACCGGUGGCGAAGGCGGCAUCCUGGACCAUUACUGACGCUGAGGCGCGAAAGCUAGGGGAGCAAACGGG